UUUUUUUUUUUUUUUUUUUUUUUUGUUUCAUUUCAGCGUGGUGUUCCCAGCACUGAGUCUUCAGGAAUACUGGCCUGUCUCCGCAAUGGCUGACCUCCUACGAGUCCUGCCCGAGCCUCUUCCUUUCCAGAAGACUGGGGUCUUUUUUGUAUCUUCCACUCUCUCCUCAUCUUGUGCAUCUUUUCUCGGUCACUGAACACAUGGAGCAUGUUGACAGCAGCAGGAGGGUGGGGGGAUGGAGCAACGGCUCAGGACCACGCACGCGCCGCUGCAGGCGGUAGGGCCUUUCUCUUCUGGCGUCACUGUCCCUUCCCAAGAUGGGCCAGGCGGUCAAGCGCAUCGCUGGCAUUUGGGCGCCAACAGCCCAGCCUUGUCAGAGCCCCUUCUAUGAGCUGGUGCGAGCCCCUUGUCGGAUAUGUGAUCUGCAAAUAUCUCCUCCCAUCCUGUGAGUGGUCCUUUCACUUUCUUGAUGGUGUCCUUUGGAGCGCAAAGGUUUUUAACUUUGACCAUGAACGCCAGAGGAAAAGGCAGCUUACCUUCAGCGGAGAGACUGCCUGACAAUGAUGUGCCAGCACAGGAGGGAUGGCAAAGACCAGGGUGUGAGGUCACUCAUGUGCUGGUGAGCCCACGGCCAGCCAGAGCCUACAGCCAGCAAGUGCAUCUCCGGAGGAGCAGGGACCCCCAGCUCAAGUGGGGAGGGCUGGCCAGCAGCGGAGUCUGACUAAAGGAGCUUCUGAUGCACGUACACCCAGGCGGGAAGAAGCGAUCGCAGGUGGGAGGUCCCAGGGGCCCAGGGAAGUAGAGAGCAAGGAAAGCGACAGGUGCGUCUACAAACCUAAGACACACGGCAGUAAGGCCAAAGCGAGGUUAAAAAGCAAAUACCCGCAACGCGUGGAAGGGGAGUUAGGGGUUCUCAGGUCCCUGGAUCCCCCGAAGAGUCAAGCACUAGUUAAUUGCAGGUGUUUGCCGAGUAAGAAUGUUGUAAUUUCUACAAAACCAUCAAAGAAACAGAAAGUGUCUAUAACUUCCUAAUGGUAGAGUUAAAAAAAAAAAUCAAUAAUCAACUUUUUUAAAACAAGACAGUUCUGAGAAGGAAUGAAAAAAAGAAACAUAGCAGAGCUAAAACAGCAAAACAUAAGACGGUAGAUUUAAACCCAAAUCUAUCUGUAAUUACCUUUACAGGAAACCAAAGAAAUGCUCCAGUUAAAAAAAAAAGUCAGAAUUUUUUUAAAAGAUUAUCAAACUACAAUUUGUAAAAAAAACCCCACUUUCAUCAUAUGCCAUUUACGAGCUACAUCUAAGACAUAAAAAUAGAAAAGGGUUAAAAAUGAAAGAAUAGGAAGAAUACACAAGGCAAAUGCCGCCCAGAGGUUCAGCUACAUGAAUUUCAGACGAAACAGACUCAGGGGCAAAAAACACUUGAGGAGAUGAAAGAUCACUUCAUGUGACAGACGCUUCAUUCACAAAGAAGAUGCAACAAUUCUAAACUGUACCGCUAGUGACACAGCCCCACACGCAUAAAGCAAACCCUUGAUCUUCAUGUGACAGGCACUUCACUCACAAACAAGGUGCAACAAUUCUAAAGUGCAUCGCUCGUGACACAGCCCCACACGCAUAAAGAAAAACCCUUGAUAGAAAUGCAGGAUUAACAGGCGCGUCCGCAGUGACGACUGCAGAUUGUAACCUCUCUCAGGAUUUGAUAAAACAGAUGGACCCAAAGAUGAAUGAGGUUUCAAGGGCCGACACACAACUUCGGGGAAGAGCUAAGUAGUAAAUAAUUUAGAUUUUUUUCAGAGCAAAAUGGUCUCUGUUGAAGCGACUCAACCAAGUCAUACUGCAGAGCGGCCACAGACAAUACAUAAACCAGCGGGGCGGCUGUGAUCCAUAACGGUUUACUUCUAGAAACAGGUGGCAGCCAGGUUUAGACCACGGAGUGUAGUCUUCCAACACCCGACAGAGGAGGUUUAAACAACCUGAUUAAUAAACGUAGCGAACUCGCCAAAAACUAACCUCACGUGCUGCUGAAUGCAAUGUUUUCAAAGACUCCCAGAGCGUUUCCGAAAUGUGACCGCAUGUGGGCCAUAAAGCGGGUCUCGACAAGUUUUAAAAGACAGGUCAGUCAGUAUAUAUUGUGACCAAAAUUCAUUGAAGCUAAAAAGAAAAGAAAAAAAAGAAAAAAAAAAGCAGAUACUUGGACAAAUCUUCAUAUGCUUAGAAAUUCAGAAGUUAUCGCCAAUCAAAUAUUAAAUCAAUUAGAUAUUUUAAAAUCUAUUGACCUGAAUAGUAAAAAAAAGGGGGGGUGCCUUGUCACAGGGUAUAGUUGCAGCAGAAAGUUCGCAGAGGGACCACGAUGGAUGCUAUGCCUCAGUGUGGCAGAAACCUCGGGAGGCUGAAAACGACACAAAACGUAAGUCAGAAAAGCAGAAAGUAAAUUAUAAAGAAGGAAGGAAAUGACUUAGAAAGCAGAAAUGAAUGACAUAAAGCACGCAGAGAAAGCUGCAAAGGUGGUUCUGUGAACGGCUCAGGCGAGCUGGCAGAGUUUCGCCAGGAGAAGCGAGGGGACCAGAGCGUCGGCGUGGACAGUGUCCGAGCGGAGCCCCAAGCGAAGCGAGCCCUGCGCAACUGUCGUAGGAGGAAACUGGGAACAGCUCUGGGGCAAAAAACUUGAAAAUGUACAAAAGGACACAUUCC
RNAcentral lists this long non-coding RNA (2691 nucleotides) under Sus scrofa (pig). RNAcentral's name for it is "lncRNA (ENSSSCG00005001936.1)". The record is from RNAcentral. Lineage: Eukaryota; Metazoa; Chordata; Mammalia; Artiodactyla; Suidae.